UAGCUACAGGCUUAACACAUGCAAGUCGAGGGGCAUCAGGAAGAAAGCUUGCUUUCUUUGCUGGCGACCGGCGCACGGGUGAGUAACACAUAUCCAACCUGCCCUUUACUCGGGGAUAGCCUUUCGAAAGAAAGAUUAAUACCCGAUAGCAUAAUGAUUCCGCAUGGUUUCAUUAUUAAAGGAUUCCGGUAAAGGAUGGGGAUGCGUUCCAUUAGGUUGUUGGUGAGGUAACGGCCCACCAAGCCUUCGAUGGAUAGGGGUUCUGAGAGGAAGGUCCCCCACAUUGGAACUGAGACACGGUCCAAACUCCUACGGGAGGCAGCAGUGAGGAAUAUUGGUCAAUGGGCGCUAGCCUGAACCAGCCAAGUAGCGUGAAGGAUGAAGGCUCUAUGGGUCGUAAACUUCUUUUAUAUAAGAAUAAAGUGCAGUAUGUAUACUGUUUUGUAUGUAUUAUAUGAAUAAGGAUCGGCUAACUCCGUGCCAGCAGCCGCGGUAAUACGGAGGAUCCGAGCGUUAUCCGGAUUUAUUGGGUUUAAAGGGAGCGUAGGUGGACUGGUAAGUCAGUUGUGAAAGUUUGCGGCUCAACCGUAAAAUUGCAGUUGAUACUGUCAGUCUUGAGUACAGUAGAGGUGGGCGGAAUUCGUGGUGUAGCGGUGAAAUGCUUAGAUAUCACGAAGAACUCCGAUUGCGAAGGCAGCUCACUGGACUGCAACUGACACUGAUGCUCGAAAGUGUGGGUAUCAAACAGGAUUAGAUACCCUGGUAGUCCACACAGUAAACGAUGAAUACUCGCUGUUUGCGAUAUACAGUAAGCGGCCAAGCGAAAGCAUUAAGUAUUCCACCUGGGGAGUACGCCGGCAACGGUGAAACUCAAAGGAAUUGACGGGGGCCCGCACAAGCGGAGGAACAUGUGGUUUAAUUCGAUGAUACGCGAGGAACCUUACCCGGGCUUAAAUUGCAGUGGAAUGAUGUGGAAACAUGUCAGUGAGCAAUCACCGCUGUGAAGGUGCUGCAUGGUUGUCGUCAGCUCGUGCCGUGAGGUGUCGGCUUAAGUGCCAUAACGAGCGCAACCCUUAUCUUUAGUUACUAACAGGUUAUGCUGAGGACUCUAGAGAGACUGCCGUCGUAAGAUGUGAGGAAGGUGGGGAUGACGUCAAAUCAGCACGGCCCUUACGUCCGGGGCUACACACGUGUUACAAUGGGGGGUACAGAAGGCAGCUAGCGGGUGACCGUAUGCUAAUCCCAAAAUCCUCUCUCAGUUCGGAUCGAAGUCUGCAACCCGACUUCGUGAAGCUGGAUUCGCUAGUAAUCGCGCAUCAGCCACGGCGCGGUGAAUACGUUCCCGGGCCUUGUACACACCGCCCGUCAAGCCAUGGGAGCCGGGGGUACCUGAAGUACGUAACCGCAAGGAUCGUCCUAGGGUAAAACUGGUGACUG
Molecule: ribosomal RNA, 1437 nt
Filed under: uncultured organism
Description: SSU rRNA
Rfam family: Bacterial small subunit ribosomal RNA
Source: RNAcentral